Molecule: ribosomal RNA, 495 nt
Filed under: uncultured bacterium
Lineage: Bacteria
Description: partial 16S ribosomal RNA
Rfam family: Bacterial small subunit ribosomal RNA
Source: RNAcentral
GACGAACGCUGGCGGCGUGCCUAAUACAUGCAAGUAGAACGCUGAAGGAGGAGCUUGCUUCUCCGGAUGAGUUGCGAACGGGUGAGUAACGCGUAGGUAACCUGCCUGGUAGCGGGGGAUAACUCUUGGAAACGAUAGCUAAUACCGCAUAAGAGUAGAUGUUGCAUGACAUUUGCUUAAAAGGUGCAAUUGCAUCACUACCGGAUGGACCUGCGUUGUCUUAGCUCGGUGGUUAGGUAACGGCUCACCAAGGCGACGAUACAUAGCCGACCGGGGGGGGGGAUCGGCCACACUGGGAAGGAGACACGGCCCCGACCCCUACGGGAGGCAGCAGUAGGGAACCUUCGGCAAUGGGCGGAAGUCUGACCGAGGCACGCCGCGUGAGUGUAGAAGGGUUUCGGAGCGUAAAGCUCUGUUGUAAGAGAAGAACGAGUGUGAUAGUGGAAAGUUCACACUGUGACGGUAUCUUACCAGAAAGGGACGGCUAACUACGUG